UUCCGGUUGAUCCCGCCGGAGGCCAUUGCUAUCGGAGUCCGAUUUAGCCAUGCUAGUCGAGCGAGGUUAGCCCUCGCGGCGAACAGCUCAGUAACACGUGGCCAAGCUACCCUGCAGAGGGGGACGGCGUCGGGAAACUGACGGGAAUCCCCCAUACCGGUCUCACGCUGGAAUGCCGAGACCGACAAACGCUCCGGCGCUGCAGGAUGCGGCUGCGGCCGAUUAGGUAGUCGGUGGGGUAACGGCCCACCGAGCCGAUAAUUGGUACGGGGUGUGAGAGCACGAGCCCGGAGACGGAAUCUGAGACAAGAUUCCGGGCCCUACGGGGCGCAGCAGGCGCGAAACCUUUACACUGCACGAAGGUGCGGUAAGGGGACUCCGAGUGCGAGGGCAUACAGUCCUCGCUAUUGUGUACCGUAGGGUGGUACACGACCAAGAGCUGGGCAAGACCGGUGCCAGCAGCCGCGGUAAU
Molecule: ribosomal RNA, 472 nt
Filed under: uncultured archaeon
Lineage: Archaea
Description: bacterial SSU rRNA
Rfam family: Archaeal small subunit ribosomal RNA
Source: RNAcentral